Long non-coding RNA from Oncorhynchus tshawytscha (Chinook salmon), 516 nucleotides. Lineage: Eukaryota; Metazoa; Chordata; Actinopteri; Salmoniformes; Salmonidae. The record is from Ensembl.
CGUCGAUUCAACCUGAAGGUAGCGAGAGAUCACUUGUUUUGUGACCGUAUUGCAGGUUAUUAUUCCAACCUUGCUCUAACGUUAAGUCAACUACACAAGGUCUCGGUGAGCAGGUGUGUUUUGAGCAAGGCUGGAACAAAAACCUGCACACCAGUUCUCCAAGGGUUAGGGUUGGACAUCCUGGCAUCUGCUCCAAUAUACCGAGGGUGGCGUGAUUCAUUAUAACCAGGUCCCUGUGUUUUGGUUAAUUCAUUAUAACCAGGUCCCUGUGUUUUGGUUAAUUCAUUAUAACCAGGUCCCUGUGUUUUGGUUAAUUCAUUAUAACCAGGGUCCUGUGUUUUGGUUAAUCAUGUUGAUUCAUUAUAACCAGGUCCCUGUGUUUUGGUUAAUCGUGUUGAUUCAUUAUAUCUAGGACCCUGUGUUUUGGUUCAUUCAUUAUAACUAGGUCCCUGUGUUUUGGUUGAUUCAUUAUAACCAGGACCCUGUGUUUUGGUUCAUUCAUUAUAACUAGGUCCC